CAGGCCUAACACAUGCAAGUCGAACGCCCCGCAAGGGGAGUGGCAGACGGGUGCGUAACACGUGGGAACAUACCCUAUGGUUCGGAAUAACUCAGGGAAACUUGAGCUAAUACCGGAUAAGCCCGAGAGGGGAAAGAUUCAUCGCCAUAGGAUUGGCCCGCGUCUGAUUAGCUAGUUGGUGAGGUAACGGCUCACCAAGGCGACGAUCAGUAGCUGGUCUGAGAGGAUGAUCAGCCACACUGGGACUGAGACACGGCCCAGACUCCUACGGGAGGCAGCAGUGGGGAAUAUUGGACAAUGGGCGCAAGCCUGAUCCAGCCAUGCCGCGUGAGUGAUGAAGGCCUUAGGGUUGUAAAGCUCUUUUACCCGGGGAAGAUAAUGACGGUACCGGGAGAAUAAGCCCCGGCUAACUUCGUGCCAGCAGCCGCGGUAAU
This 434-nucleotide ribosomal RNA is filed under the name uncultured bacterium. RNAcentral's name for it is "bacterial SSU rRNA". It matches the Rfam family "Bacterial small subunit ribosomal RNA", at positions 43 to 524 of the family's 1533-position model. The record is from RNAcentral.